GGCAAUGGAGCACACCAAAGCGCCUGAACCCAAACUUUUCCAAAGCGAGGAAGAAACCGGCUCUCUGGGUGAGGAGGAAGCUGACAGGCUGGAUGAAGGGAGCGAAGAUGAAAAUCAAGAGUUUUUCGACGCCCCGGAACCGGCCCCGGGCUCAGCCGCCUUCCUCCCCUCGCCCUUUCCCGAGCAACAGACGUGUGAGCAGGAGACUGCGGAUCCGGCAUACCUCGACUCGGUGUUCGGCGAACUGCCUCCGCAGUUGAGGGUUAAAGCCGACCCCACCUUCACGCGGCCGCCCGGCCCCAAGAGGAGGGCGAAGGUCAAGCACUUGACCCUGUUCCCCAACGCGGAGCUGUUUAUGGGAGACGAUGACCCCGAUCUGAACGACCACGUCAAGAUACUACACAACAAGGGCCAGGAGGAGAAGCCUCAGAAACACUACCUGCACAUCGGGGGUCUGCCGGCGCAGGUCCUGCCCGUUCCGGCGGCGGGGGGGCCCUUCUCGAAGGAGGAGAGCCACUGCCCGUGAGCGGGGAGCGGCCCCCGGAGACGGCGGGCCGGGACCGGUGGUGUUCCGCCCCAUCCUGCUGCGCUCCGAAGGCAAUAAAACAUGGCUCCCUCUGCCAAGCGUUUGGUGAGGGAUGACAUCGAGUCUCCGAGACGCUUUUUUCUCGGUCGAAGGGGGAAGGGUCCACGGUGGGUCACUGGGAGACAGUCAGGGAUGGAGAGGGGAGAGUCAAGGGGUUGGGAUGGUUUGUGCUGGGUAGACUGUAAGCCCGUCAAUGGGCAGGGAUGCUCUCUAUCUGUUGCCCAUUUGUCCAUUCCAAGCGCUUAGUACAGUG
This 839-nucleotide long non-coding RNA is filed under the name Ornithorhynchus anatinus (platypus). Its description in RNAcentral is "lncRNA (ENSOANG00000038398.1)". The record is from RNAcentral. Lineage: Eukaryota; Metazoa; Chordata; Mammalia; Monotremata; Ornithorhynchidae.